This 142-nucleotide small RNA is filed under the name Xenococcus sp. (in: cyanobacteria). RNAcentral's name for it is "Xenococcus sp. Guanidine-I sequence". It matches the Rfam family "Guanidine-I riboswitch aptamer". From Rfam's summary of the family: This family represents a conserved RNA structure found upstream of the ykkC and yxkD genes in Bacillus subtilis and related genes in other bacteria. The function of this family is unclear although it has been suggested that it may function to switch on efflux pumps and detoxification systems in response to harmful environmental molecules. RNAcentral also lists the same sequence under 1 other name. Lineage: Bacteria; Bacillati; Cyanobacteriota; Cyanophyceae; Pleurocapsales; Xenococcaceae. The record is from RNAcentral.
UACAAUAGCUUCUAGGGUUCCGAUUUAAGAUGAAAUUCUUGAAUGGCUGGUCCGAGAGAAGCAAGCUACUGACAGAGUUUUUGGUAAGGAACAUCCUGCCCUUAAUUAAGUAGCUACACGGCGGGAUAAAAGCCCGGGAGGU